CCUUACCUGGAAACCUAAGUGACCCUGAGCAGAGGACCCAGAACCCUGACCCCUGGAAACUGAGAUAAUGAAUCUGUGUUGUUUUAAGCUACUAGGUUUCUGGUAAUUUUUAAGGCAGCCAUAGAAAACUAAUAUAUCAGAAAGGAUCCUUCCCCGGGUACAAAAGGACCCCCAACAGGAGUCUGCAGGGUGACCAUCUAAAACCAGAAGUUGAUUGAGGAUCGUCAGUGGCCUGCCAAAGUACAACGUCACAUGAGAGGUACCCGAUGAUGAAGGGAGUCUCUGAGGAACUCGCAGGUCAAGGAGGAGAGGUGAACCAUGUGACAAGUCUAGAGAGCUCAAAGCCACUGAGAGCCCGGGGUGCAGAAGAGGAAAGACACUUUAACCUUGGAUGGAACCAGACCUCUGGAGUCAAGAUGAAUCCAUCUACCCUCUUUCCAUGGGAUUUCCACUCGUAAGCUCUCUGUUUCAGUCUUCCUGAAAUCUCUUCUUGGAAGGACACCCAGACCUGUUGCAAGAGCAGAAAAUGUGGUCCUUGGCCCUGGGGAGUUUAUAAUUUAAUGGAGAA
This is a long non-coding RNA of Suricata suricatta (meerkat), 568 nucleotides long. RefSeq lists it as uncharacterized. The record is from RefSeq and is a predicted model, not a curated record. The transcript is spliced from 3 exons. NCBI's taxonomy places the organism in Eukaryota, Metazoa, Chordata, Mammalia, Carnivora, Herpestidae.